This is a non-coding RNA of Myotis brandtii (Brandt's bat), 69 nucleotides long. Lineage: Eukaryota; Metazoa; Chordata; Mammalia; Chiroptera; Vespertilionidae. The record is from Rfam.
GGCAGUUCUCGGAUGACGCACCCCGGAAUUGGGCUCCCUCCUCUCUGGUUUGGGGUCCCGAGAACUGUC